This 274-nucleotide ribosomal RNA is filed under the name uncultured bacterium. RNAcentral's name for it is "partial 16S ribosomal RNA". It matches the Rfam family "Bacterial small subunit ribosomal RNA", at positions 523 to 796 of the family's 1533-position model. The record is from RNAcentral.
AUACGGAGGGUGCAGGCGUUACUCGGAAUCACUGGGCGUAAAGCGCGCGCAGGCGGUCUUUUAAGUUGGAUGUGAAAGCCUACAGCUCAACUGUAGAACUGCAUCCAAAACUAUUAGACUAGAGUCUGGGAGGGGAAGAUGGAAUUAGUUGUGUAGGGGUAAAAUCCGUAGAGAUAACUAGGAAUACCAAAAGCGAAGGCGAUCUUCUGGAACACUACUGACGCUGAGGCGCGAAGGCGUGGGGAGCAAACAGGAUUAGAAACCCCAGUAGUCC